UACAGCUGUCAACAUUGUGAGACGUUGUC
RNAcentral lists this small RNA (29 nucleotides) under Bombyx mori (domestic silkworm). Its description in RNAcentral is "ovarian small RNA-20289". Lineage: Eukaryota; Metazoa; Arthropoda; Insecta; Lepidoptera; Bombycidae. The record is from RNAcentral.